RNAcentral lists this microRNA (24 nucleotides) under Caenorhabditis briggsae. RNAcentral's name for it is "Cbr-Mir-36-o9_5p* (star (passenger))". Lineage: Eukaryota; Metazoa; Nematoda; Chromadorea; Rhabditida; Rhabditidae. The record is from RNAcentral.
CGCUGGUUUUUUACCGCGGUGAUA